CUGAAAAAUAAAAUGAAGAGCGUGAAUUCAAAGAAGAUAAAUAUAUAGAUAAAUAUAAAAAUAUAAUAUAGGAGCUUAAUAAUUUGAAAGAUUUGGGAAGAUCUAGAAGAUGUUGUUGAAUUCUGAUAACACAUUUAUUAGUUAUUUGUACCCAAAAGUAGAGAGCUGGAAGAGAAUAAAGUCAGACUUAUUUAGGUAUUACAAUAAAGAGUGGUUCAAAAUGGAUAGAUUUAUAAACCCUUUUGGACAAAAAACUAAAAAUAAUGACCUAAAGAGAAAAGAGUUGGAUUUAGUAUAAAAAGUGGUGUAGAUAGAUUUUCAAAUUCACAUAAAGGAAACAUGUGGUUGUGGGGGCAUAAAAGAAAUCUUAGUUCAUAAAAUUGCAUGCAAACAAGAUUAUUGAUAUAAAAACAGCUGCGAUAAUUAGGGAAAGGGGUAAGAAAAAGUUAAAGUUGACAUAACAAAGGUGUUUAUAUUUGUCUUGCAUUUUUAAAAUGUUAGCUAUAAAAGUAUUUAAGGUAAUCAUAGAAAUUAAUUAAUCAUGAUUGAGUAUCUAAGUGAGCUUUUGGAAAUUUUUUUAAGCUCGUUGAUUAGCUUAUCUUUAUCGGAUGAAAACUGAUACAAAGUUUUUAGAUUCUUAAAGUUGGUAGCAAAAAGUUGCUGGGAAUUGAAAAAGAAGUUGUUUUGGUUGUAGAUCUGGUUCUCAAGAAUGGAUACAGAAUUGGGAAGCUUACUUGAAUAAAAUGAAGCAACAGAAAGAUUGUUGAAGGAAGUACUGCAUGGAAGUAAGUAUUCUUUGUUAAAGUUAAUAGCAAGUUCUUUAUACAAGGCAGCUGAAGUAUUGAAAUUAAGGGAGGCAGUAACUGGAUCAUCCUGAGCCAUAUUUAAUAGUCCAAGAGUAAAUCUAUAGUGAGCAAUAUUAAAAUUUGUAUUAUGCUUUGGGUGUUGGAGGCGUUCCUCAAUAGUAUUUAGAGUAGAGUGAACCAAAGGAAAGUUCCCAUAUUGGAGGGAUAUUCUAGCAAUCAAAGAAUACAAAGAUAUAUCAUCUGGAAAGUGUUUCUGCAUUGAAUCAUUCAAAAUUUGUAUAGCCUCAUUAUAGUAGUCUCUGAGGGUUAAAGCCUCAACAAGGAUGAAAAGAACUACUUUAUAUUUGAGAAGCCAUUUAUUUGUGACUUGCUUAUCAAAAUCUUUGAAAAGUUCUAAAAUGUAAUCAAUUUCAUUAAUGAUCACAUACAAUUCAUCAAUUGCUUGGUCAAAAAAUACAAAGUAGUCCUCAAUCUUAAUAUUCUCACUCAGAUCUUUGCCAUGUUUAUUUUCAGGCAAGAAUACUGAAGCAUUUGGAAUAUGAUAAGUUUUGUACAUAGCUAACUUCCAGAAGAUUAUUUGUAUCCUAAAAAAGUAGUAAAUGUCAAUUAGUUUUAGGAAAUGCUUUCGUGAUCUUAAUUCG
Molecule: non-coding RNA, 1447 nt
Filed under: Cryptosporidium parvum
Lineage: Eukaryota; Apicomplexa; Conoidasida; Eucoccidiorida; Cryptosporidiidae
Source: RNAcentral